Molecule: ribosomal RNA, 435 nt
Filed under: uncultured bacterium
Lineage: Bacteria
Description: bacterial SSU rRNA
Rfam family: Bacterial small subunit ribosomal RNA
Source: RNAcentral
UACGGAAGGCAGCAGUGGGGAAUAUUGCACAAUGGGCGAAAGCCUGAUGCAGCUAUGCCGCGUGUAUGAAGAAGGCCUUAGGGUUGUAAAGUACUUUCAUCGGGGAGGAAAAACAAAACUAAUAAUUUUAUUUCUUGACGUUACCCGAAAAAGAAGCACCGGCUAACUCCGUGCCAGCAGCCGCGGUAAUACGGAGGGUGCUAGCGUUAAUCAGAAUUACUGGGCGUAAAGAGCACGUAGGUGGUUUUUUAAAGUCAGAUGUGAAAUCCCUGGGCUUAACCUAGGAACUGCAUUUUGAAACUGAAAUACUAGAGUAUCGUAGAGGGAGGUAGAAUUCUAGGUGUAGCGGUGAAAUGCGUAGAUAUCUGGAGGAAUACCUGUGGCGAAAGCGGCCUCCUAAACGAAUACUGACACUGAGGUGCGAAAGCGUGGGGA